AUGCGGUGGCCGACGAGAUCGCGGCCUCCAAUGCGGCGGUAGCGUCGCGCCGUUCGGAUCCGCGGCUGCGCA
Molecule: transfer RNA, 72 nt
Filed under: Mycobacterium xenopi
Lineage: Bacteria; Bacillati; Actinomycetota; Actinomycetes; Mycobacteriales; Mycobacteriaceae
Description: tRNA-Trp(cca)
Source: RNAcentral